CCUACGGGUGGCAGCAGUGGGGAAUAUUGGACAAUGGGCGAAAGCCUGAUCCAGCCAUGCCGCGUGUGUGAAGAAGGCCUUCGGGUUGUAAAGCACUUUCAGUGGGGAAGAAAGCCUUGGGGCUAAUACCCUCGAGGAAGGACAUCACCCACAGAAGAAGCACCGGCUAACUCCGUGCCAGCAGCCGCGGUAAUACGGAGGGUGCGAGCGUUAAUCGGAAUUACUGGGCGUAAAGCGCGCGUAGGCGGUCUGAUAAGCCGGUUGUGAAAGCCCCGGGCUCAACCUGGGAACGGCAUCCGGAACUGUCAGGCUAGAGUGCAGGAGAGGAAGGUGGAAUUCCCGGUGUAGCGGUGAAAUGCGUAGAGAUCGGGAGGAAUACCAGUGGCGAAGGCGGCCUUCUGGACUGACACUGACGCUGAGGUGCGAAAGCGUGGGUAGCAAACAGGAUUAGAUACCCGUGUAGUC
This 465-nucleotide ribosomal RNA is filed under the name Vreelandella stevensii. RNAcentral's name for it is "partial 16S ribosomal RNA". It matches the Rfam family "Bacterial small subunit ribosomal RNA", at positions 338 to 795 of the family's 1533-position model. Lineage: Bacteria; Pseudomonadati; Pseudomonadota; Gammaproteobacteria; Oceanospirillales; Halomonadaceae. The record is from RNAcentral.